AUCAGCAGAGUUUACACGUCACGUUUUGGUAAUGGUACGGUUCACUUGAAACCUCAACUGAGGUGGUACUGAAAAAAGUACCAGGUACUGUACCAAGUGGAAAACCCCCCAAAAGUGAACCGUACUGAACAGUACCUUGCCCUACCAUGCAGUGGAAAAGCACCAUUAGACUC
Molecule: long non-coding RNA, 173 nt
Organism: Sinocyclocheilus grahami
Lineage: Eukaryota; Metazoa; Chordata; Actinopteri; Cypriniformes; Cyprinidae
Exons: 3
Source: RefSeq, a predicted model, not a curated record